UUCGGGAUAAGCCUGGGAAACUGGGUCUAAUACCGGAUAGGACCUCAAGACGCAUGUCUUCUGGUGGAAAGCUUUUGCGGUGUGGGGNAAUGGGCCCGCGGCCUAUCAUNANGCUUGUUGGUGGGGUGACGGCGCCCUCUACCAAGGCGACGACGGGUAGCCCGGCNGGCCUGAGAGGGUGUCCGGCCACACUUGGGGACUGAGAUACGGCCCAGGAACUCCUACGGGAGGCAGCCAGUGGGGAAUAUUGCACCAAUGGGCGCCAAGCCUGAUGCAGCGACGCCGCGUGGGGGGAUGACGGCCUUUCGGGUUGUAAACCUCUUUCACCAUCGACGAAGGUCCGGGUUUUCUCGGAUUGACGGUAGGUGGAGAAGAAGCACCGGCCAACUACGUGCCAGCAGCCGCGGUAAUACGUAGGGUGCGAGCGUUGUCCGGAAUUACUGGGCGUAAAGAGCUCGUAGGUGGUUUGUCGCGUUGUUCGUGAAAUCUCACGGCUUAACUGUGAGCGUGCGGGCGAUACGGGCAGACUAGAGUACUGCAGGGGAGACUGGAAUUCCUGGUGUAGCGGUGGAAUGCGCAGAUAUCAGGAGGAACACCGGUGGCGAAGGCGGGUCUCUGGGCAGUAACUGACGCUGAGGAGCGAAAGCGUGGGGAGCGAACAGGAUUAGAUACCCUGGUAGUCCACGCCGUAAACGGUGGGACUAGGUGUGGGUUUCCUUCCUUGGGAUCCGUGCCGUAGCUAACGCAUUAAGUACCCCGCCUGGGGAGUACGGCCGCAAGGCUAAAACUCAAAGGAAUUGACGGGGGCCCGCACAAGCGGCGGAGCAUGUGGAUUAAUUCGAUGCAACGCGAAGAACCUUACCUGGGUUUGACAUGCACAGGACGCGUCUAGAGAUAGGCGUUCCCUUGUGGCCUGUGUGCAGGUGGUGCAUGGCUGUCGUCAGCUCGUGUCGUGAGAUGUUGGGUUAAGUCCCGCAACGAGCGCAACCCUUGUCUCAUGUUGCCAGCGGGUAAUGCCGGGGACUCGUGAGAGACUGCCGGGGUCAACUCGGAGGAAGGUGGGGAUGACGUCAAGUCAUCAUGCCCCUUAUGUCCAGGGCUUCACACAUGCUACAAUGGCCGGUACAAAGGGCUGCGAUGCCGUAAGGUUAAGCGAAUCCUUUUAAAGCCGGUCUCAGUUCGGAUUGGGGUCUGCAACUCGACCCCAUGAAGUCGGAGUCGCUAGUAAUCGCAGAUCAGCAACGCUGCGGUGAAUACGUUCCCGGGCCUUGUACACACCGCCCGUCACGUCAUGAAAGUCGGUAACACCC
RNAcentral lists this ribosomal RNA (1310 nucleotides) under Mycobacterium sp. DWMJ-1812A2. RNAcentral describes it as "bacterial SSU rRNA". It matches the Rfam family "Bacterial small subunit ribosomal RNA", at positions 137 to 1422 of the family's 1533-position model. Lineage: Bacteria; Bacillati; Actinomycetota; Actinomycetes; Mycobacteriales; Mycobacteriaceae. The record is from RNAcentral.